Molecule: long non-coding RNA, 1256 nt
Filed under: Mytilus galloprovincialis (Mediterranean mussel)
Lineage: Eukaryota; Metazoa; Mollusca; Bivalvia; Mytilida; Mytilidae
Source: RNAcentral
GUAGUGCUGAAAGUAGCACCAAUCAAUCAAUCAAUCAAAUAAAGAUAAUUAGUUCAUAGUUAAGAACUUAGACAUAGUUACACAAUAGAUUGAAAUAAAAUUCAAAGUUUAAACAAUAGAAAGUACACUUGGCUCUGACGUUAACCGAUAACAAAUUUUAGAACGAGAUGAAAUAAAAUCAUCACUUGAUAUUAAAGCGGAGUCAUAUGUAUCGAGACUUAUCAGGCUCGGUAGGAUGAUAAUAUUUUAAUGUGUCUUAGAACAUGAAAUGAUCCACAAAGCAAAUAUGCAAAUCGCAUACACAGUACAGCUGAACAUCACAGACCAAAUAUUACAACUAUUUAUUGAUUUAAAGUCAGAAUAAUUAAUGAAGCGCCAGUUAUAACAAUCAGUCGGGCGGAAAGAAUAAUGUAUUAACAGAACAUUGAUUGCAGUUCAAGUCAUAUACUCAGUUAACGAGAGCAGAAUCACAAAUAUAUGAAAAAAAAUCUGGGAAAGUGUUUUGAAAUAAAUAAUAUUAAAUUUCGCUGACCGUAGCAUAAAUUUGUUAUCGAAUUAAAUCCCAUUAUCUUGAAAUUGAGACUAGAAACGGCGAAUAUAACAAAGGGACUCCAAUACGACCAUAGAGCAAAAACCCCACAUCAAGACCACCAAUAGGUCUUCCUCACAGAGAAAAACUCCCUCAUCCGGAAAAAAAUGUAUACUAAUUCAGCGAAAAUAGACGUCACAAUUAACUCCCAAACAGUAAAAAUUAAGACGAAAAGAAUCUUACAAAUCCAGAACUUUGUGACUUUGGACAGGCGCAACAAUGCAGCAGGGAUAAACUUGUUUUUGUGAUAUCUCGACUUUUUUUAAUUAAUAUACUUACAGUUUGCUGCACUGUGCGACUUAAAAGCUGCUGUGUGCCAAUAGAAUUGGUUGUAUCGGUAUAAAUAUCUUGAAGAAUUAGGCAUAGGAAAGUAGGUUCUAUCGCAAGCAGCAUGCUUACCAAACAUCGCUUGUACUUCCAUUUUUUGGCUUUCAUGCAUUAUGUUUCUCAAUAAUUUGUACAAAACGAUCCUACAUUUUAUGUGAUGCAUAACGUUUCAAUGUUUGAAAGGAGGAAAAUAUAAUAUAUAUCACGUGUAUAUCACGAAUUAGAAAUACAGAACUGCUUUUUUUGGUGCAUGUAUUUCCAGAGACGAAAUUUGGACAAAAAAUAUGUUUACAGUGUUGUUUCUAUUUUGUUCACCCUUGUAUUUAAAUAAAGGCAACAG